GAUGUAGCUCAGUUGGUUAGAGCGCCGGCCUGUCACGCCGGAGGUCGCGGGUUCGAGCCCCGUCAUU
RNAcentral lists this transfer RNA (67 nucleotides) under Caulobacter sp. D4A. Its description in RNAcentral is "tRNA-Asp". It matches the Rfam family "tRNA", at positions 5 to 66 of the family's 71-position model. From Rfam's summary of the family: Transfer RNA (tRNA) molecules are approximately 80 nucleotides in length. Their secondary structure includes four short double-helical elements and three loops (D, anti-codon, and T loops). Lineage: Bacteria; Pseudomonadati; Pseudomonadota; Alphaproteobacteria; Caulobacterales; Caulobacteraceae. The record is from RNAcentral.